Myotis davidii is the source of this 101-nucleotide non-coding RNA. NCBI's taxonomy places the organism in Eukaryota, Metazoa, Chordata, Mammalia, Chiroptera, Vespertilionidae. The record is from Rfam.
AUCCGUCUGUGUUCCCACUGAGGUGACUGGGUGAUCACUCCCUGUGUGGGCUGCGCCUCCCUCAAACCUUGUUACCACGUCCACACCUUCCCCGGCUGACA